GACGAACGCUGGCGGCGUGCUUAACACAUGCAAGUCUAGGGGGCCCAGCAAUGGGUCACCGGCGAACGGGUGCGUAACACGUGAGCGACCUACCCUGGAAUGGGGGAUAGCCGGCCCAACGGCCGGGUAAUACCGCAUACGCUCUUCGAGCUUCCUGGCUUGGAGAGGAAACCUUUUGGGUUCCUGGAGGGGCUCGCGGCCUAUCAGCUAGUUGGCGAGGUAACGGCUCACCAAGGCGAUGACGGGUAGCUGGUCUGAGAGGAUGGCCAGCCACAUUGGGACUGAGAAACGGCCCAGACUCCUACGGGAGGCAGCAGUGGGGAAUCUUGCGCAAUGGUCGAAAGACUGACGCAGCGACGCCGCGUGGAGGAUGACGCCCUUCGGGGUGUAAACUCCUGUUGCCCGGGACGAACCUCCCUUUUCGAGGGGACUGACGGUACCGGGUGAGGAAGCACCGGCUAACUCUGUGCCAGCAGCCGCGGUAAUACAGAGGGUGCGAG
This 500-nucleotide ribosomal RNA is filed under the name uncultured bacterium. RNAcentral describes it as "bacterial SSU rRNA". It matches the Rfam family "Bacterial small subunit ribosomal RNA", at positions 28 to 538 of the family's 1533-position model. The record is from RNAcentral.